UGACUNGAGUGCAGAAGGGGAGAGUGGAAUUCCAUGUGUAGCGGUGAAAUGCGUAGAUAUAUGGAGGANCACCAGUGGCGAAAGCGGCUCUCUGGUCUGUCACUGACGCUGAGGCUCGAAAGCGUGGGUAGCGAACAGGAUUAGAUACCCUGGUAGUNCACGCCGUAAACGAUGAGUGCUAGGUGUUAGGCCCUUUCCGGGGCUUAGUGCCGGAGCUAACGCAAUAAGCACUCCGCCUGGGGAGUACGACCGCAAGGUUGAAACUCAAAGGAAUUGACGGGGGCCCGCACAAGCGGUGGAGCAUGUGGUUUAAUUCGAAGCAACGCGAAGAACCUUACCAGGUCUUGACAUCCCGAUGCUAUUCUUAGAGAUAGGAAGUUACUUCGGUACAUCGGAGACAGGUGGUGCAUGGUUGUCGUCAGCUCGUGUCGUGAGAUGUUGGGUUAAGUCCCGCAACGAGCGCAACCCUUAUUGUUAGUUGCCAUCAUUAAGUUGGGCACUCUAGCGAGACUGCCGGUAAUAAACCGGAGGAAGGUGGGGAUGACGUCAAUCAUCAUGCCCCUUAUGACCUGGGCUACACACGUGCUACAAUGGUCGGUACAACGAGUUGCGAGCCGGUGACGGCAAGCUAAUCUCUGAAAGCCGAUCUCAGUUCGGAUUGGAGGCUGCAACUCGCCUCCAUGAAGUCGGAAUCGCUAGUAAUCGCGGAUCAGCACGCCGCGGUGAAUACGUUCCCGGGCCUUGUACACACCGCCCGUCACACCACGAGAGUUUGUAACACCCGAAGUCGGUGAGGUAACCUUUUAGGGGCCAGCCGCCUAAGGUGGGANGGAUGA
This 836-nucleotide ribosomal RNA is filed under the name uncultured bacterium. RNAcentral's name for it is "bacterial SSU rRNA". It matches the Rfam family "Bacterial small subunit ribosomal RNA", at positions 638 to 1474 of the family's 1533-position model. The record is from RNAcentral.